GAUGAACGCUGGCGGCGUGCCUAAUACAUGCAAGUCGAGCGAACAGACGAGGAGCUUGCUCCUCUGACGUUAGCGGCGGACGGGUGAGUAACACGUGGAUAACCUAUCUAUAAGACUAGGAUAACUUCGGGAAACCGGAGCUAAUACCGGAUAAUAUAUUGAACCGCAUGGUUCAAUAGUGAAAGACGGUUUUGCUGUCACUUAUAGAUGGAUCCGCGCCGCAUUAGCUAGUUGGUAAGGUAACGGCUUACCAAGGCAACGAUGCGUAGCCGACCUGAGAGGGUGAUCGGCCACACUGGAACUGAGACACGGUCCAGACUCCUACGGGAGGCAGCAGUAGGGAAUCUUCCGCAAUGGGCGAAAGCUUGACGGAGCAACGCCGCGUGAGUGAUGAAGGUCUUCGGAUCGUAAAACUCUGUUAUUAGGGAAGAACAAAUGUGUAAGUAACUAUGCACGUCUUGACGGUACCUAAUCAGAAAGCCACGGCUAACUACGUG
Molecule: ribosomal RNA, 497 nt
Filed under: uncultured bacterium
Lineage: Bacteria
Description: partial 16S ribosomal RNA
Rfam family: Bacterial small subunit ribosomal RNA
Source: RNAcentral